RNAcentral lists this ribosomal RNA (465 nucleotides) under uncultured bacterium. Its description in RNAcentral is "partial 16S ribosomal RNA". It matches the Rfam family "Bacterial small subunit ribosomal RNA", at positions 28 to 506 of the family's 1533-position model. The record is from RNAcentral.
GAUGAACGCUGGCGGCGUGCUUAACACAUGCCAGUCGAACGAUGAAGCCCAGCUUGCUGGGUGGAUUAGUGGCGAACGGGUGAGUAACACGUGAGUAACCUGCCCUUAACUCUGGGAUAAGCCUGGGAAACUGGGUCUAAUACCGGAUAGGAGCGUCCACCGCAUGGUGGGUGUUGGAAAGAUUUAUCGGUUUUGGAUGGACUCGCGGCCUAUCAGCUUGUUGGUGAGGUAAUGGCUCACCAAGGCGACGACGGGUAGCCGGCCUGAGAGGGUGACCGGCCACACUGGGACUGAGACACGGCCCAGACUCCUACGGGAGGCAGCAGUGGGGAAUAUUGCACAAUGGGCGCAAGCCUGAUGCAGCGACGCCGCGUGAGGGAUGACGGCCUUCGGGUUGUAAACCUCUUUCAGUAGGGAAGAAGCGAAAGUGACGGUACCUGCAGAAGAAGCACCGGCUAACUACGU